Molecule: long non-coding RNA, 4028 nt
Organism: Eriocheir sinensis (Chinese mitten crab)
Lineage: Eukaryota; Metazoa; Arthropoda; Malacostraca; Decapoda; Varunidae
Exons: 2
Source: RefSeq, a predicted model, not a curated record
AGGAGACAAGAGCCACGAAGCGGAUCAUCGCCACCUCGCUCCUGCUUCAGCCAUCGUCCUGCUGGCCCUGAAACUGCCCCGGUAGCACAUCGACGCCGAAUAUAUAUCAUAGGUGAAUACUGGUGAUUACAGUAAGGCGUGUCAGCUGCCAGGCCCCUUGUGCAGUGCUGGGGCUCAAGUCAGGAUUCGCGGCGUCAGGAGGAGCUAUAUAUAGCUUCUGUGACUCAAGAGGGGAGCGGCACAUCCGUCCGGCUUCUUUCUCCGCCAAGCCUUCACGUCGGCCAUUUAUCUUCGAAACACGCCCCCCACCCACUCUCAAUCCAAAGCCUUACAAGCAUGGAGGCACAAUCUUGUAAAUCCCAUGAUGCUGAAACCCAAGCCCAGCAGUCACCGAUGUUGUGGUUGAUGGUAGUGGCGUCAGGAAUGAUGAUGGUGCUCAUGCUGGUGCUGAUUGCGGUGAUGACGAGGAUGAAGAGGCAGAUGAAAGGGCAGCAGCGAGGGAUGACCAAAGAAGAGCCAAUCUACGAUGAGAUAGAAAUCGGCCCAAUGAGAGAGGACGCUCCAGGAAAAGCUCCCCCCGGAAAAAAAAUCGACGAAGACUUGUACGAAGCAGGCUACCUCAUUCCGGGAAAAGCUCCCCCCGGAAAAAAAAUCGACGAAGACUUGUACGAAGAAGGCUACCUCAUUCCGGGAAGAGAUCCCCCCGGAAAAAAAAUCGGCUCGAAGAAAGUUGACGAAAACAUCUACGACGACGGAUACCUCGCCCCAAAUGACGCUCCCAUCGGAAAAUAGAGCGGACCGUAGUGGGAUAGGGAUGAGGCCACCAAUCGUUCACUACCCCGGCGGACUGUGGCCACGGCUUCCUCUCACAUCCUGGCCACACUAUGAUGUCAAUAAUUAAAAGUAGGAUGAAUAAGACACCAGCAGAAAUUGGUUUACACAUAAUAUUAUUGCGGAGGACGAGUGGAACCUCUUUGACAGUCAUGUUGUGAGUGACAGUAUUAAAAAUUGGUUUACACAUAUAAUGGGGGUCGAGUGGAACAUCCUUAAUUGACGGUCCUGUGGUGAGUGGCAGUACUGAAGAAAUACACAAGAAAAGUUACAAUGAAUAGAGGGGAUGGUAGAGGUGGUAGGUACUAUAGAGGGGAGAUGGUGUUUUAUAUAUAUAUAUAUAUAUAUAUAUAUAUAUAUAUAUAUAUAUAUAUAUAUAUAUAUAUAUAUAUAUAUAUAUAUAUAUAUAUAUAUAUAUAAUUAACAUGUGGUGGGUAAGUGUAGUAAAUGGGAAGGUGUGGCCUACUGACCACUUGCCUACUCAUUAUGUUCUUAUGUUCUUUUAAUGAUGAUUGUGUAUAUUAUGAUAAUGAUGUUGCCCACGAUGAUGAACUUAAUGAUGAUAGCGAUGAUGAUGGUAAUGGUGAUCAUGAUGAUAAGGAUGAUUAUAACUAUAUUGCUAUUAUUAUUAUCAGUCAUUAUUAUUAUUAUUAAUAUUAUUAUUAUUAUUAUUAUUAUUAUUAUUAUUAUUAUUAUUAUUAUUAUUAUCAUCAUCAUUAUUACAAUUUUUAUUAUUAUUAUUAUUAUUAUUAUUAUUAUUAUUAUUAUUAUUAUUAUUAUUAUUAUUAUUAUUAUCAUCAUCAUUAUUACAAUUUUUAUUAUUAUUAUUAUUAUUAUUAUUAUUAUUAUUAUUAUUAUUAUUAUUAUCAUCAUCAUCAUCAUCAUCAUCAUCAUCAUCAUCAUUAUUAUUAUUAUUAUUAUUAUUAUUACUAUUAUCAUUAUUAUUAUUAAUAUCAUUAUUACCAUCGAUUGUACCCCAGCCAGGACUCCAACCACAUGCGUGGCGCCCGCUGCCAGUGAGUAUAAUCAACCUUCUUUGGCCUAUUAUUAUCAUUAUUAAAAACACUAUUGUUAUUAUCAUAAGGGUCAAGAAAAAGGCAAAUUGAAUGUUACAAAACACCGCAAUUGAAUUUGUGCGUUUGCGCCGCUGUUCGACUCGAAGUGGUUCGAUUCCGGUGCUGGGUAACAUUAUUAUUAUUAUUAUUAUUAUUAUCAUUAAUAUUAGCCUAUUAUUAUUAUUAGCAUUAAUAUUAGCCUAUUAUUAUUAUUAUUAUUAUUAUUAUUAUUGUUUUAUUAGCAUUAAUAUUAGCCUAUUAUUAGCAUCUGUACAUUACAUCUGUGCUGUUUAUCUCUCACCUACUUCUACCAACUAUGUAAAAUUCUUUGACUAUUUGAACUCUUUAAGUGGAGCACAUCUUGACCCACUCUCCCUUCGCUGAAAUCUCCAUCCUAGGAGAUUUCAAUGUUCACCACCAGCUUUGGCUUUCAUCCUCUUUCACUGACCAUCCUGGUGAACAAGCCUACAACUUUGCUAUCCUCAACGACCUAGAGCAGUUGGUCCAGCACCCUACACGUAUUCCCGACCGUCUUGGAGAUCGGCCCAACAUUCUAGACCUCUUCCUUACCUCAAACCCUUCUGCUUAUUCUGUCAAACUGUUCUCUCCGUUGGGCUCCUCCGAUCACAAUCUUAUUUCUGCAUCCUGUCCUAUCGCUCCUGUACACCCUCUGGACCCACCGAAGAGGCGAUGCUUCUGGCAUUUUGCUUCAGCUCGGUGGGACGACCUGAGGAUGUACUUUUCCGAUUUCCCGUGGAAUGAUUAUUGCUUCCAGGAUAGAGACCCCUCUGUGUGUGCUCAGCGCAUCACAGAGGUGAUUGUCUCUGGAAUGGAGGCAUACAUUCCUCGUUCUGUCUCUACUCCUCACGCUAAAAAGCCUUGGUUUAAUCACGCUUGUUCUCGUGCUGUCAAUGAUAGAGAGGUAGCUCACAAAAGGUACCAGAGCCUUCAAACUAAUGCUAAUUAUGAACUUUACAUUUCUGUCCGAAAUCGUGCCAAAUCUAUUCUCCGACUAACCAAAAAUUCUUUCAUUAAUAGAAAAUGUCAAAACCUUGCUUUCUCUUACUCUUCCCGUGACUUCUGGCAUCUAGCCAAAAACAUCUCCUCCAACUUCACUUCUUCAUCUUUCCCUCCACUCCUCAGUCCUCUAAGGCUGAACUCUUCUCUCAAACUUUUUCUAAAAACUCCACUCUGGACGAUUCUGGGCAUAUUCCUCCUACUCAUCCCCCCUCUGACUCCUUUAUGCCUGUUAUAAAGAUUCUUCAAAAUGAUGUUUUCUACGCCCUCUCUGGCCUCAAUCCUCAGAAGGUUUAUGGACCUGAUGGAGUGCCUCCUAUUGUCCUUAAAUACUGUGCCUCCGUGCUGUCACCCUGCCUGGUCAAACUCUUUCGCCUCUGCCUGUCAACAUCUACCUUUCCUUCUUGCUGGAAGUAUGCCUUCAUACAGCCUGUGCCUAAGAAGGGUGACCGCUCCAAUCCCUCAAACUACCGUCCUAUAGCUUUACUUUCUUGUCUAUCUAAAGCUUUUGAAUCAAUCCUUAACCAGAAGAUUCAAAAGCACCUUUCCACUUCUGACCUUCUAUCUGAUCGCCAGUAUGGGUUCCGCAAGGAACGUUCUACUGGUGAUCUCAUUGCCUUCCUAACUGACUCUUGGUCAUCCUCUCUUAGCCGUUUCGGUGAAACUUUUGCUAUUGCGCUGGACAUAUCAAAAGGUUUUUGAUAGGGUCUGGCACAAAUCUUUGCUUUCUAAACUACCCUCCUAUGGUUUCUAUCCUUCUCUCUGUACCUUUAUCUCCAGUUUCCUUUCUGACCGUUCUAUUUCUGCCGUGGUAGACGGUCACUGUUCUUCCCCGAAAUCUAUUAACAGUGGUGUCCCACAGGGUUCUGUUCUAUCUCCCACUCUUUUUCUGUUGUUCAUUGAUGAUCUUCUUUCCAAAACGAACUGUCCUAUCCAUUCCUACGCCGAUGAUUCCACUCUGCAUUACUCAACUUCUUUUAAUAGAAGACCCACCCUUCAGGAACUUAACGACUCAAGGCUGGAGGCUGCAGAACGCUUAGCCUCAAACCUUACUAUUAUUUCCGAUAGGGGCAAGAAGAACCUAGUGUCCUUCAACGCCUCAAAAACACAGUUUCUCCACCUAUC